GAUGAAGAACGUAGCGAAAUGCGAUAAGUAAUGUGAAUUGCAGAAUUCAGUGAAUCAUCGAAUCUUUGAACGCACAUUGCGCCCGCCAGUAUUCUGGCGGGCAUGCCUGUUCGAGCGUCAUUUCAACCAUCAAGCCCUGCUUGCGUUGGGGUCCUGCGGCUGCCCGCAGGCCCUGAAAACCAGUGGCGGGCUCGCUAGUCACACCGAGCGCAGUAAUACAUCUCGCUUUGGGCGUGCGGCGGGUUCUUGCCGUUAAACACCCCCUUUUUACCAAGGUUGACCUCGGAUUAGGUAGGGAUACCCGCUGAACUUAAGCAUAUCAAUAAGCGGAGGA
RNAcentral lists this unclassified non-coding RNA (334 nucleotides) under soil metagenome. RNAcentral describes it as "partial contains 5.8S ribosomal RNA, internal transcribed spacer 2, and large subunit ribosomal RNA". The stretch from base 1 to 120 matches the Rfam family "5.8S ribosomal RNA", at positions 35 to 154 of the family's 154-position model. The record is from RNAcentral.